GGCUCCCUGUGGCUCAGUUGGUAGAGCAUGGUGUUUGCAACGCCAGGGUUGUGGGUUCGAUUCCCACGGGGGGCCA
Salmo salar (Atlantic salmon) is the source of this 76-nucleotide non-coding RNA. The record is from the annotation of a RefSeq genome assembly. Lineage: Eukaryota; Metazoa; Chordata; Actinopteri; Salmoniformes; Salmonidae.